GACUUGUUGGCUCAUUGGUUGGAGCUUCGUGUUGUCAACACGAUAAUCGUGAGUUCGAUCCUCACCCAAGUCA
Molecule: transfer RNA, 73 nt
Filed under: Daphnia galeata
Lineage: Eukaryota; Metazoa; Arthropoda; Branchiopoda; Diplostraca; Daphniidae
Rfam family: tRNA
About the family: Transfer RNA (tRNA) molecules are approximately 80 nucleotides in length. Their secondary structure includes four short double-helical elements and three loops (D, anti-codon, and T loops).
Source: Rfam by way of RNAcentral